GGUGAUGUAGGUUGGUCAUGCCUCCGGUAUGUACUGGCCUCACUGAUUCCUCCUUCCUGAUGAACCGUAAUGCCAUUAAUUUGGUGUUGCGGGGAAUUUGGACUGUUACUUUGAAAAAAUUAGAGUGUUUAAAGCAAGCUAACGCUUGAAUACAUUAGCAUGGAAUAAUGAAAUAGGACGUUCGAUCCUAUUUUGUUGGUUUCUAGGAUUGACGUAAUGAUUAAUAGGGAUAGU
This 234-nucleotide ribosomal RNA is filed under the name uncultured Glomeromycotina. RNAcentral's name for it is "partial 18S ribosomal RNA". The stretch from base 40 to 234 matches the Rfam family "Eukaryotic small subunit ribosomal RNA", at positions 686 to 882 of the family's 1831-position model. Lineage: Eukaryota; Fungi; Glomeromycota. The record is from RNAcentral.